This is a long non-coding RNA of Chenopodium quinoa (quinoa), 855 nucleotides long. RefSeq lists it as uncharacterized. The record is from RefSeq and is a predicted model, not a curated record. NCBI's taxonomy places the organism in Eukaryota, Viridiplantae, Streptophyta, Magnoliopsida, Caryophyllales, Amaranthaceae. The transcript is spliced from 2 exons.
UCGGCGUGGUGCGAGUUGUCUGAGCUCUAGCGACGUUCUUGAGGAGCAACGGAGGUCCCGCUCACGCUCGAGGCACAGAGGCUCGGAUGAGGAGCAGCUUGGUCGUGGUAGACGAUCUCCUGAGAUUCACCGACGUUUUCAUUCUCAGCGAGAGCCUCAGGUUACUCAGCCAUUUCAGGAGGCUCAGUGGCAGCAGUCUCCGUCUUCUCAGCGCUUUCCAGGCCAGAGUUAGGGGCAGCGUCAAUUGUUUUCACAGCCUCCACAGCCUGAGUUUGGGUCUGUUUUGACUCCCUUGGAUCCUGGUUUGUUUUCAGCUCCAUUGUCCGGGAUUCCUCCACCGGUGUCGGGCUUAUUCUCAGUUCCGCUAUAUGGGACGAUGCCUUCACCGACGAUUCCAGUGUCUCUGGGCCUGUCUACUCCAUUUUUCGGUUGGACGGGUCCUGCCUUGAGCUUGACUACUGCUGGGGUUACAGGGACUAGUAGAGACACUACUCCCCGUACUCGGAUGGUGGAGGGACUCUUCGGUUCGCCGUUCCCAUAUGCACAGGAUGGACCACAUGCACAGGGUGGAGAUGAGACUGAUUCUGGCUCUAGAGACUUUUGACCGAGGGUUUUUAUUUAUACAUACUAUGAUGACACUUGACAUAUUUACGUAUUACGACUCUUUGUACAUUAUUUACGGCUUAUGUAUUUAUUAUUGUGUGUUAGUGUGUGUUUGAGACUCCUUGUGUGUGAUUGUGUAUUUAUUAACGACACGACGAAAAAACAUAAGUGGAGUAAUAGAGGGUACCGACCUUCCCCAAAAGAAAAAGAAAUAAAAAGACAAGCAAAAUAAAAUUACUUUCCCCAAAAGAA